CUGAGAUAGUUUACCCCACCCAAGACAUCUGAUUUCGACUCAGAAGACCUUUAAAUUAAAGUCUCAGA
This 68-nucleotide transfer RNA is filed under the name Xerotyphlops vermicularis (Eurasian blind snake). RNAcentral describes it as "tRNA-Arg". Lineage: Eukaryota; Metazoa; Chordata; Lepidosauria; Squamata; Typhlopidae. The record is from RNAcentral.